Molecule: long non-coding RNA, 744 nt
Filed under: Homo sapiens (human)
Lineage: Eukaryota; Metazoa; Chordata; Mammalia; Primates; Hominidae
Description: non-protein coding LINC00606:5
Source: RNAcentral
CCAGCUGGGAGGGAGCUGACAGAUAAGGAAACUGAGGCCCAGAGUGGUGCUGGAGGUCUCUGAGCCAGGAAGUGGCCCGUCGGGACUGGAAUGCAGGGCCCUGAGCCUGACAGCACUCUCCGGGAAGGGGCUAGAGCCCCGAGGGAUGAGCGAAAUGAUCAUGAUCAUCUUUGUCCCAUGCUUGCAAGUUCUAGAACUGCUACAAAGGAGCAGCCACGAGUGUCCCCCGCUCCCAGACCACUCCAAGCUGCUUCUAGAGGGACUGGACAUCCUGGAGCAGAAACAGGUGAGGAAACUGAAGCUCUGAGAGCAGUAGCUCCCCUGAGCCGUGCAGCUGGAGAGGGCUGCGCCAACAGCAGAGCUGGGGCUCUUUGCAGUCCCAUUUUCCACUGCUUUGGUCAGGGAGUGAGUCCCCUGAUGUCAUCCGAGGAUAUGAGGCAUCGCUAAAUCUGGCCAUCCCCUGAAGCACCCAGCCUCACCGACUUCCUGAAGCGUGGAUGAACGCUGCUGCCACAAAUGUGCUGUGACAACCGCUGACAAGGAGAGUGAGUGAUGUUUGUGCCAUCCUGCUGAGCACGAGGGAGCUGCUUGGGGAAGCCAGGGGCUGGGGCAUCUCAAUAGCACUGAGGGCAGCCUCGGGGGGGCUUCACAGCACACCCACCCCCAGAUCACUGCUGAUUCUGGGGGAUGCAUGACAGAGCUUUCUGACCUUGCACUUCCCUUUGGCUGCUAAACUGAAUGAAG